This 467-nucleotide ribosomal RNA is filed under the name uncultured bacterium. Its description in RNAcentral is "partial 16S ribosomal RNA". It matches the Rfam family "Bacterial small subunit ribosomal RNA", at positions 28 to 507 of the family's 1533-position model. The record is from RNAcentral.
GAUGAACGCUGACAGAAUGCUUAACACAUGCAAGUCAACUUGAAUUUGGGUUUUUAACUUAGGUUUGGGUGGCGGACGGGUGAGUAACGCGUAAAGAACUUGCCUCACAGCUAGGGACAACAUUUGGAAACGAAUGCUAAUACCUAAUAUUAUGAUAAUAGGGCAUCCUAUAAUUAUGAAAGCUAUAAGCGCUGUGAGAGAGCUUUGCGUCCCAUUAGCUAGUUGGAGAGGUAACGGCUCACCAAGGCGAUGAUGGGUAGCCGGCCUGAGAGGGUGAUCGGCCACAAGGGGACUGAGACACGGCCCUUACUCCUACGGGAGGCAGCAGUGGGGAAUAUUGGACAAUGGACCGAGAGUCUGAUCCAGCAAUUCUGUGUGCACGAUGAAGUUUUUCGGAAUGUAAAGUGCUUUCAGUUGGGAAGAAACAAAUGACGAUACCAACAGAAGAAGUGACGGCUAAAUACGUG